AAACCGGCCCUUUUAAGGGCCACAAAUACUAUUGAUGUGCUACCA
Oikopleura dioica is the source of this 45-nucleotide non-coding RNA. NCBI's taxonomy places the organism in Eukaryota, Metazoa, Chordata, Appendicularia, Copelata, Oikopleuridae. The record is from Rfam.